UUUUUUUUUUGGUGACAGGGUCUCCCGUUGUCAAAGUUGGUCUUUAACUCCUGGGCUCAAGCAAUCCUCUAUCUCAGGCUCCCAAUAGAUGGAACUAUAGGCUUGCACCAAUAGACCUGCCUCCCAGCCAUUCUUAAUUGUGUGGUGUUUGUUUUGUUUUGGAUUUUGAGUACUGGGGAUUGUACCCAGGGAUUUUCUACCACUGAACUACAUCCCCAGUCCUUUUUACUUUUUAAUUUUUUUGAGACAGGGUCUCAUUAAGUUGUCCCAUGGCCUUGUAUUUGUGUUCUUCCUGCUUCAGCCUUCCUGGCAGCUGGGAUUACUGACAUGUACCACCAGGUCCAACUUCUUUAUUGUCUUUUGCAUUAUGGGAGACACCUGAGAAAAUGUCAAGUGUCAUUACAGAAAUAGCUGGAAAACAAAAGAGAAGCUAGGGGAAGGAAGUGUCAAUAUCUGAUUCACAUUUAGAGAUCCCUUUUUAAAGCUAUUAGAGAAGUAGACGAUAUAUAAUUAAUUACAUUCCCUAUAAAAUACUGUUCCUUAUAAAGUAGUGUUAAGUCAAACUAACUCUCUUAGAAAAAUUCUUACAAAGGUACAAAUAUCUACUUUCUAUUACACAGGUAGGGAUACAUUGUUAGAGUCUGUAAACAAGUCUGGAUGGCGCCUGGCAAAAUGCCAGAGGGAGUGGUUUGUGAAGUAACGCCAGCAAGCCAUUAAGUGUGGAGAUUCCUUAUUGGUUGACUGCUGUAUCUAGCUUAUGUUAAUUAGAUAAGCUGUGUGGAAUGUAUAAAUACCUCUGUUGUCCUACAAUAAACGGAUCCCAUUCCUGCUGUAUCAAUCUACACAAGUUGUUCAUCACCCCCCGGCUAUUUUGCUGCAGCCAGACUGCGGCAAUACAUCUAUGAUUUUAUCAUAAUUGUUAUUAAAAUGUAAUUGGAGAGGCAACUAACAUCAGUUUCUACCCACAUUUGCACGACUGUGUACCUACUCCUUACCUUUGUCCUGAACUCCUUCAAACUGCAGUUUUCUAAUAAUAAAAAGACCCCAUAAACUAUAGUAUGGUCUUUGAAGCACAGGGGAAUCCAUCUAGAAAAGUCAAAUAUUAUGCAUUUUUGAAGAAGUAGUUUUUAAUGACCAAUGAGGUAUCCUUUUUAAAUUCCUGAACAUGUAAAAUUUCCCCCCUAGCAUAUAUAUGAAAAAAAUGCAUUUCCAGAAAUAAUAUAAAAAAAAUGAAGCCAUUUUCCUGGCCAUCACACUAGAAGUACAGAUAAUUUUCUCAACAAAUAGCGUUUUUCAUCUGAAUUUACAUUGCAAAUAAUGUCAUAAAGAGGAUUUUUUCCAGACCAAUGAUGAUAGAAGAACAAAUUCUUAACUUAAUAAUAGUAGUAAACUCCCUUCAAAGGCAUUUAAG
This 1411-nucleotide long non-coding RNA is filed under the name Marmota monax (woodchuck). Lineage: Eukaryota; Metazoa; Chordata; Mammalia; Rodentia; Sciuridae. The record is from RNAcentral.